Molecule: long non-coding RNA, 349 nt
Organism: Oncorhynchus keta (chum salmon)
Lineage: Eukaryota; Metazoa; Chordata; Actinopteri; Salmoniformes; Salmonidae
Exons: 3
Source: RefSeq, a predicted model, not a curated record
GUAGUAGACCUUACAGUGAAAUGCUGAAUACAACAGGUGUAGUCGACCUUACAGUGAAAUGCUGAAUACAACAGGUGUAGUCGACCUUACAGUGAAAUGCUGAAUACAACAGGUGUAGUAGACCUUACAGUGAAAUGCUGAAUACAACAGGUGUAGUAGACCUCAGUGAAAUGCUGAAUACAACAGGUGUAGUAGACCUUACAGUGAAAUGCUGAAUACAACAGGUGUAGUCGACCUUACAGUGAAAUGCUGAAUACAACAGGUGUAGUCGACCUUACAGUGAAAUGCUGAAUACAACAGGUGUAGUAGACCUUACAGUGAAAUGCUGAAUACAACAGGUGUAGUAGAC